UUAAGCGACUAAGCGUACACGGUGGAUGCCUAGGCAGUCAGAGGCGAUGAAGGGCGUGCUAAUCUGCGAAAAGCGUCGGUAAGGUGAUAUGAACCGUUAUAACCGACGAUACCCGAAUGGGGAAACCCAGUGCAAUUCGUUGCACUAUUGCAUGGUGAAUACAUAGCCAUGCAAGGCGAACCGGGGGAACUGAAACAUCUAAGUACCCCGAGGAAAAGAAAUCAACCGAGAUUCCCCCAGUAGCGGCGAGCGAACGGGGAGGAGCCCAGAGUCUGAAUCAGUUUGUGUGUUAGUGGAAGCGUCUGGAAAGUCGCAGGGUACAGGGUGAUACUCCCGUACACAAAAACACACUUGCUGUGAACUCGAUGAGUAGGGCGGGACACGUGACAUCCUGUCUGAAUAUGGGGGGACCAUCCUCCAAGGCUAAAUACUCCUGACUGACCGAUAGUGAACCAGUACCGUGAGGGAAAGGCGAAAAGAACCCCGGCGAGGGGAGUGAAAUAGAACCUGAAACCGUGUACGUACAAGCAGUGGGAGCCUACUUUGUUGGGUGACUGCGUACCUUUUGUAUAAUGGGUCAGCGACUUAUAUUUUGUAGCAAGGUUAACCGAAUAGGGGAGCCGUAGGGAAACCGAGUCUUAACUGGGCGUCUAGUUGCAAGGUAUAGACCCGAAACCCGGUGAUCUAGCCAUGGGCAGGUUGAAGGUUGGGUAACACUAACUGGAGGACCGAACCGACUAAUGUUGAAAAAUUAGCGGAUGACUUGUGGCUGGGGGUGAAAGGCCAAUCAAACCGGGAGAUAGCUGGUUCUCCCCGAAAGCUAUUUAGGUAGCGCCUCGUGAACUCAUCUUCGGGGGUAGAGCACUGUUUCGGCUAGGGGGCCAUCCCGGCUUACCAAACCGAUGCAAACUCCGAAUACCGAAGAAUGUUAUCACGGGAGACACACGGCGGGUGCUAACGUCCGUCGUGAAGAGGGAAACAACCCAGACCGCCAGCUAAGGUCCCAAAGUCAUGGUUAAGUGGGAAACGAUGUGGGAAGGCAUAGACAGCCAGGAUGUUGGCUUAGAAGCAGCCAUCAUUUAAAGAAAGCGUAAUAGCUCACUGGUCGAGUCGGCCUGCGCGGAAGAUGUAACGGGGCUAAACCAUGCACCGAAGCUGCGGCAGCGACGCUUAGGCGUUGUUGGGUAGGGGAGCGUUCUGUAAGCCGUUGAAGGUGACCUGUGAGGGUUGCUGGAGGUAUCAGAAGUGCGAAUGCUGACAUAAGUAACGAUAAUGCGGGUGAAAAACCCGCACGCCGGAAGACCAAGGGUUCCUGUCCAACGUUAAUCGGGGCAGGGUGAGUCGACCCCUAAGGCGAGGCUGAAAAGCGUAGUCGAUGGGAAACAGGUUAAUAUUCCUGUACUUGGUGUUACUGCGAAGGGGGGACGGAGAAGGCUAGGCUAGCCGGGCGACGGUUGUCCCGGUUUAAGCAUGUAGGCGGAGUGACUUGGUAAAUCCGGUUGCUUAUCAACGCUGAGGUGUGAUGACGAGUCACUACGGUGAUGAAGUAGUUGAUGCCAAGCUUCCAGGAAAAGCCUCUAAGCAUCAGGUAACAUUAAAUCGUACCCCAAACCGACACAGGUGGUCAGGUAGAGAAUACUCAGGCGCUUGAGAGAACUCGGGUGAAGGAACUAGGCAAAAUGGUGCCGUAACUUCGGGAGAAGGCACGCUGGCAUUAGGUAAAGGGACUUGCUCCCGGAGCUGAAGCCAGUCGCAGAUACCAGCUGGCUGCAACUGUUUAAUAAAAACACAGCACUGUGCAAACACGAAAGUGGACGUAUACGGUGUGACGCCUGCCCGGUGCUGGAAGGUUAAUUGAUGGGGUCAGCCGCAAGGCGAAGCUCUUGAUCGAAGCCCCAGUAAACGGCGGCCGUAACUAUAACGGUCCUAAGGUAGCGAAAUUCCUUGUCGGGUAAGUUCCGACCUGCACGAAUGGCGUAAUGAUGGCCAGGCUGUCUCCACCCGAGACUCAGUGAAAUUGAACUCGCUGUGAAGAUGCAGUGUACCCGCGGCAAGACGGAAAGACCCCGUGAACCUUUACUAUAGCUUGACACUGAACAUUGAGCCUUGAUGUGUAGGAUAGGUGGGAGGCAUUGAAGUGUGGACGCCAGUCUGCAUGGAGCCAACCUUGAAAUACCACCCUUUAAUGUUUGAUGUUCUAACUCGGCCCCGUGAUCCGGGGUGAGGACAGUGUCUGGUGGGUAGUUUGACUGGGGCGGUCUCCUCCCAAAGAGUAACGGAGGAGCACGAAGGUUAGCUAAUCACGGUCGGACAUCGUGAGGUUAGUGCAAAGGCAUAAGCUAGCUUGACUGCGAGAGUGACGGCUCGAGCAGGUACGAAAGUAGGUCUUAGUGAUCCGGUGGUUCUGAAUGGAAGGGCCAUCGCUCAACGGAUAAAAGGUACUCCGGGGAUAACAGGCUGAUACCGCCCAAGAGUUCAUAUCGACGGCGGUGUUUGGCACCUCGAUGUCGGCUCAUCACAUCCUGGGGCUGAAGUAGGUCCCAAGGGUAUGGCUGUUCGCCAUUUAAAGUGGUACGCGAGCUGGGUUUAGAACGUCGUGAGACAGUUCGGUCCCUAUCUGCCGUGGGCGUUGGAAGAUUGAGAGGGGCUGCUCCUAGUACGAGAGGACCGGAGUGGACGAAUCACUGGUGUUCGGGUUGUCAUGCCAAUGGCAUUGCCCGGUAGCUAAAUUCGGAAGAGAUAACCGCUGAAAGCAUCUAAGCGGGAAACUUGCCUCGAGAUGAGUCUUCCCUGGGGCUUUAAGCCCCCUGAAGGAACGUUAAAGACUAUGACGUUGAUAGGCUGGGUGUGUAAGUGCAGCGAUGCAUUGAGCUAACCAGUACUAAUGAUCCGUGAGGCUUAACCUU
Molecule: ribosomal RNA, 2906 nt
Filed under: Yersinia kristensenii
Lineage: Bacteria; Pseudomonadati; Pseudomonadota; Gammaproteobacteria; Enterobacterales; Yersiniaceae
Description: bacterial LSU rRNA
Rfam family: Bacterial large subunit ribosomal RNA
Source: RNAcentral